RNAcentral lists this long non-coding RNA (621 nucleotides) under Mustela putorius furo (domestic ferret). Its description in RNAcentral is "lncRNA (ENSMPUG00000028740.1)". The record is from RNAcentral. Lineage: Eukaryota; Metazoa; Chordata; Mammalia; Carnivora; Mustelidae.
GGCUUUUCAAAGAGUAUGGUCUUAUUGGAACACUUCCAUGUUGAUUGCUCAGGCUGUAAUCCUUUAGCCCAUGGCUACUUUAUGGGGAGGAGAAUGUCUACCUUUGCUUGAAGUUAGUACCCUGGCCAGAAUGCACUUUGUUUCUUCUGUCUCCCCCUUCUCCUGUUUCUGCACCAACUUGGAUGUGGCUUGGAUAACUGGCCUCUAGACCAUCCUCAGUGCCUCCUGCACCAUGGUUCCUUCUCUCUUCACUGUCAAGGAGCAAGAAAAGCACCGCCGGACAUAACACUUCCCACUCUAAAUUUCUCCACCUAUGUCUCAGGUAAUGCUUCUCCAGGAGUGAGGGCUAGUAUGGGGCACCAACAGCGGAGAUUAGAGCAUCAUAUGGAGUUCCAGAGAACAGCUGCACAACCAGACCCAUUGUUCUCAAGCAAGAGUCCUUCUACAACCCCCAUACCCAAAGUCCAUGGUCAUGUUUCAGUGCUGUAAGAAGUACUGGAAACCAAACAGCACACCUUUUCUUGGAGGGAGAAGGAGUCGACUUUUCUUGAUAUUGUGUGAGUAAAUUUAUAUUUUAUUUUACAUGUAAUAUAAUAUGUAUGUAUAUUAUAUUAUACAUAU